Molecule: long non-coding RNA, 6250 nt
Organism: Gopherus flavomarginatus (Mexican gopher tortoise)
Lineage: Eukaryota; Metazoa; Chordata; Testudines; Testudinidae
Exons: 5
Source: RefSeq, a predicted model, not a curated record
CGUCACUUCCGCUCGCCUGGCUCCGCCUCCAUCCCAGGACUUGUCACGUGAGUCCGAGUUUGCGCAAAGCAUCGUAUCCUGGCGGGAGCGGACCCCGGGGUGGGGGGUCACGCGCCGCUAUCCCCGCUAGGCAAGCGCGACCCCUCCCCGCCGUGCCAGUGCUGUGGAGCGACGUGAGGCUUGACGAGGCAGCGCUAAUGCCGAGAUGGACAGGCGUCUUGGGACCUCCUCUGUAUCUGAGGUGUAAGCUGUGUGGGACUGAAGGCCUGAGUCCAGCACUCCCAGGGCAUCACUUUCUUGUGCCUAUGGAUGCUAAUCGAGGUCCAGGACCCUACUGCACCAGAUGCUAUGCAGACAGAGUAAGAAGACAGUGUCUACCCCAAAUAGCUCAUCAUAUCAUGACAAAGACAAAAAAAAAAAGGCAGAUGAAAAGCAAAUUGGUUGGAGGGAACGACAACAAGAAAAGGUAACAGGCAACACUCAGACUUCCUUCAGCAGCUCCAGCCCCAACCUUAACCUGAUUGACGGAUGGCUACUAACUCCAGCCGUGAGAUUAUGUCCUGCCACAAGCUACAUGGUCUCUGCACCAAUGGAACACCGUAAGGUCUCAGUGGGAAAAUGCAGGGAGUUCUAUUUUUCCUACUAAAGAACCAUGCAACAAGAGAACAUGUAUAAGAUAGACUGGAAAAAUGGCACAAUGGUAUCACCUGAGUUUCAUCCAAUAUGGCCUCAGAAAAUGUACUGUAUUGACAUGUGCCAUAAUAUGUUCAAAACUAUCAAGGAGAAUGUUUCUGGAUAGUAGUAGCUCAUACCAGUUACAACCUGGUACCUAUGCAAGUAUUACUGUGCCAACUACUGGCACCUUUUGGAAACAGUGAAAGCAAGACAAUGGAGUUGCAAAAACUCAACAAGCUAUUUUGAACAGCGAUAAACAAGAACACUGUGGGGCUGAAUCCAGCUGACCCACUACACCCUUUCACAGGCAAGAAGCCAGUCAACCCACUAUGCUAACAUUUUCACUUGACCCAGGUGACUUAACAGAUAGCAGCUCCAAUUAGCUCAGUCCAGCUAUUAAAGAUAUUAAAGCAUCAAAUGCAAUCCUCCCCAUUUAUUAAAGUGGCUUUGAAAAUUAAAUGGUUUCAGAUGAGAUCAGCUACAGUGGAACAUAUAUAUCAGUGCACCAAAUCCUCCUCUGCAACCCAGAUUUUGAUGUGCUAAUUCAAACUCUAAAAAGACUACCUUAUUAUUCCUGCUACUCUGCAGCCCCUCCAUAAGCAUGCAGAGACAAGGCAGGUGGCAGGUAAAAUCUUGGCAGCUGCUUUUGCAUUCAAAGUAUAUUUUAAAACAGUGGUUCUUAACCUUUACUGCAGCCCGCACCCCCCUUUGGUUCUCAAAAUAUGUUCUCGCACCCCUUAUCAAAAAUCAAAAUGUUCUCACACCCCUUAAACCUAUAUAUAGUUUGUAUAUUACAGUAAUUAUUAAAAAAUGUAUGUUAAUAAAUACAUAGAUUUGAUGAAAUAAAGCAGUUGUACUUACUGCCUGUGCUUAAUUUGUGUUUUCGAUGAUUUACCUUCUAAAAAAAUCUGGCAUGUCUUGCACCCCCAGAAAGGGCAUCUCAAAGCCCCAAUGGGUGUAUGCACCCCAUGUUAAGAACCACUGAUUUAGAAUUUCAAGUUAUUUGAAAUAGAAAACUAAAGUACAAAUUGUGAGUUUAAUUCUUAACAACAACAAAUAAAAUACACACUAGCUUCUAUAUACUCAGGCGGCAUCCCUGAACUAAAUAAACUUCUUAGUUCCUUGAAGAAAAGGAUAAAGCCAAAGAAAAGGCCAAGUCUGUUUUACCUUCAUUUGCACCUGAGACACUUUCCUGCCCCUAGAAGGGAAGCGAGGGGCACUGUCCUCUUUCCCUUCUAUUGCUUAGAAAAUUAAGGGGGAAAAUAAUUCUCCCAUUAUGCUUUUACUACACUUUUUUUAAAGUAAAACAAGAGUGAAUUUAGGGUGACAAGCUGUCCAAUUUUAUAGGGACAGUCCUGAUAUUUGGGUUUUUUUCCCCUAUAUAGGCACCUAUUACCACCCUCGUCCCAAUUUUUCACAUUUGCUAUCUGGUCACCCUAAGUGCAUUUCAUAUUGGUGAGAUACUAUAACCCAGAGCUAUGGAAGUUUAGCUGCACAACUCAAAAACCAAUGAGAGGGAACUCCCCAGGCCAAGACAGGUAGCCUUAAUCUUUUACUAAUAAUUCAGGUCCGUUCUGGGAAUCUAACCAGAGAUGCCAACUAUCAUACAGUCUUCAUGGCACCUUGACUUACAACCAAGUCACUGCACAUAGUAAGUAUCUUACAGGUGUUUACUCACUAUCAAUCCAGAUCAGAUUUGAAUGAAUGACAGAGAUAGUAACUGCAAUAACACUUAAUCCUCCAAGUCAAACUCCCUGUUUUACUAAUUCAUUUCUAAUGUUUAAACUCAGGGAACGUUAUGUAUUUACUCAUUUUAGUACUGGGAAUCCAUAAUUUUUCUGGGGUCUCAUAAAAGGCCAGCUAAGGGGAAACAGCAGUUUAAAAGUUAGGCCUCAUCUUCACUGGCAAGUUCGUGCUCAGUAAAGCAGCUUUAUGCAGUGUAACUCCCGAGGUGUACACACUGCCAAAUCACUUAGUGCACAGAAACGGCAAAGUAUCAGCGCUGUGAAAGAACCACCCCGAUGAGAGGUGUACAUAUUUCUGCGCCAGAGCUACAGUGCCGCGGUGCCAGUGUAGACAUCCUGGUCGAUUACAGCACUUCAACUGGCCUCCGGGAGGUGUCCCACAAUGCCUGUUCUCACCUCUCUGGUCAUGGGCUUGAACUCUACUGCCCUGCCCUCAGGUGACCCACUGUGAGCCCCACCCCUUAAAUUCCCUGGGAAUUUUGGAAUUCCCCUUCCUGUUUGCUCAGUGAUGCAUUCAGUGGUCGCAGCGCAUCUUUCCAGGUGACCAUGCCUGCUCCACACACCAGGCGAUCCCCGCUUGGAGCCAUGCCAAGCUGCUGGACCUCAUCAGCAUUUGGGUUGAGGAGGCUGUCCAGUCCCAGCUGCGAUUCAGCCAUAGAAAUUAUGAUACCUACAUACAGGUUUCAUGAUGCAUUACAGAAAGGGGCCACGACCGGGACACACGGCAGCGCAGGGUCAAAGUGAAGGAGCUCCGGAACGCCUACCACAAGGCACAGGAGGCAAACCACUGCUCUGGUGCUGCGCCCACGAGCUGCCAGUUCUACAAAGAGCUGGACGCGAUACUUGAUGGCAACCCCACGUCCACUGCGAAGGCCAAUGUGGAUACUUCAGUGGCUCACAUGCCAGUCGAGAGUGGACUGAGGCAGGAGGAGGAAAUCUUGGAUGAGGAUGUGGAGGGGGACCCAGAGGCAGAGAUGCAUGCAGCCAGGAGCUCUUCUCUACCCCGGAGGCUAGCCAGUCACAGCUGUCGAAGCUUGGCAAAGUGCAAACAGGAGAGGAGGCCCCUGCUUCACAGAUAUGACAAUGGGAGCCCAGCCUCCCUCUUUGUUAUCGCUGUCUGAACGGCUGCACAGAAUUAGAAAGCAACCACAAAGAAUUAAAGACGACUUUCUGUGUGAUCUCAUAAUGCACACCGCUGCCGAAAAACAAGAAUUGAAGGAGUGGUGGGAUAGCGAGAAGAGGGACUGAAAGGAGAACGCGGUGCACCAGAACGAAUCCACGGAGCAGCUCUUAAAUGUUAUGAAGCACCAAGCGGACACGCUCCAGGCACUGAAAACCAAGCAGCUUCGCGCCCGUCCUCUUCUGCAGCCACUGUCGCAAAACUCUUUCCCAUGCACCCCCCAAACUCCACCAACAUGCUCUUAUCAACCUCCUGGCUCCAGUCUGUACCCACUUCAUUCCACUCUUGCUCCAUCACAGUCCAGCCCUGAGGACUCUCAGUACCCAGUGCACUCAACACCCGUCCCUCUGCAGUUUAGCCCUGCAGAGGUACAGUACCCGCUGCACUGUACUCCAAAGGACAAAGGUGCAUAUAAUACCUGGACAUACACAAAUUUUUAACCAUAUCCCAGGACCCCAACUCCUCCUCCCUUCCCCAUCCCCCACAGUGCUGGUGUGUUUUUUGGUCUCUCCCCUCCAGUGGUUGUUUUUUAAUAAAAGAAUUGUUUUGGUUUGAAAACAAUCUUUAUUCCAUUAAUUGAAAGCAAACAGAGCCGUGCAAAGCAACAGGCAAUUUUCUUAAACCUUCCUAGUGCAUCAUCUGCACCAAUCACAAUCACCUCCUAGCAUUACAAGCACUGCACUCCCAAGCACAGCAACAAACAUUAGUGGCUUUCAGCUUCAAAUUGCUGCCUCAGGGCAUCCCAGAUCCUUACGGCCUGCGCUGUGCCCUUCUAAUAGCCCUGGUCUCUGGCUGUUCACACUCAGCCUCCAGGCACUGAGCCUCAGCAGUUCAGCCCUGAAUGAAGCUUUCACCCUUCCCUUCACAAAUAUUAUGGAGCGUAAAGCACGCAGCUAUAAGCAUAGGAAUAUUGUCAUUGGGCAGACUGUCAUUGACAGUCUCUCAUACAGGUAAUGCCUGUGGGCCUUUAAAAGGCCAAAAGCACACAACAGUCAUUCUGCACUUGCUCAGCCUGUUGUUGAACCACUCCUUGCUGUUGUCAAGGUGCCCCAUGUAUGGCUUCAUAAGCCACAGCAUUAAGGGGCAGGCAGGGUCUCCCAGGAUCACGAUGGGCAUUUCGACUUCCCCUAUGGUGACCUUCUGGUCUGGAAAGAAAGUCCACUUGCAGCUUCCUGAACAGGCCAGUGUUCGAAAUGAUGCAUGCACCACGCACCUUUCUGGACCAGCCUGUGUUAAUGUCUGUGAAACACCGUGAUUCACAAGCACCUGGAGAACCAUAGAAAAAUACCUCUUCCAAUUAAUGCAGCAGCUCUCAUUUUACUGGUGACCCCUUUCACAUAGGAAGCCUCUGAGGGUGACCCCACCCCCUUAUAAAUUAAAAACACUUUUUUAUAUAUUUAACACCAUUAUAAAUGCUGGAAGCAAAGAAGGGUUUGGGGUGGAGGUUGACAGAUCGUGACCCCCCAUGUAAUAACCUCAUGACCCCCUGAGGGGUCCCAACCCCCAGUUUGAGAACCCCUGAAUUAAUGUAUUCGGUGUCUAGGUCAUCUGGUGCCAGAAUUGGAAUGUGUGCGCCAACUAUCACCCCUCUGCAGUUAGGGAAGCCCAUUUGUGCAAAGCCAUCCACGUCUCACACGUUGCCAGAGUCUCAGUCUUUCGGAGCAGGAUGCGAUUAAUGGCCCUGGACACUUCCGUCAACACAAGUCCAGCAGUCAACUUUCCCACUCUGAACCGGUUAUUGACCGAUCGGUAGCAGUCUGGAACAGCCGGCUUCCACAGUGCAAUUGCCACGUGCUUCUCCAAAGAUAGGGCAGCUCUCAUUCUUGUGCCUUUGUGCUGCGGCAAGCUCAUCACACAGUCCCAUGAACGUGGCUUUCCUCAUCCGAAAGUUCUGCAGCCACUGCUCAUCAUCCCAGAUGUGCAUGAUGAUGUGAUCCCACCACUCAGUGCUUGUUUCCCCGAGCCCAAAAGCGGUAUUCCACUGUGGUCAGCCCCUCCGUGAAUGCCACAAGCAAUCUCAUGUCGUAGCUACUACGCAUGGCGAGAUCAAUGUAGAACUCCUCUUGCCUUUGUAGUUUACGGAACAACUCCAUUGCCACUCUUGACAUGUUAGUGAGAGCGAGCAGCAUAUUGGUCAACAGUGCAGGAUCCAUUUCUGCAGACCAAAGGGGCAAAAGCACACAGUACACAAACCAUUGAAAGAUGGCGCCAAAUGCAGAAGCAAGCACAGGGAUUGCUGGGAUGUGAAGCAAUGCAUCACAGAGUACUGGAACAGGACCGAGGAUGCCCUGUGACUCCCUCCGCCUUCCCACAAUUCUUAGCAGCAGAAGAGGAAGAGAUGCUCUGUGGGAUAGCUGCCCAGAGUGCGCUGCUCUGAAUACCACUGCAAAUGCCACAAGUGUGAACAUGCUAUUGCGCAGACAGCUGACAGUGUGAACAAAACAACAGUGGUUUCCCUUCAGCGCUCUCUGAGCGGCAAUGUAACUCUGCCAAUGUAGACAUACCCGUAGAUUUUAUUUGAUAGUGUGUAAAACUGUAUCAGAGGGGUAGCCGUGUUAGUCUGGAUCUGUAAAAGCAGCAAAGAGUCCUGUGGCACCUUAUAGACUAAAAGACGUCUUGGAGCAUGAGCUUUCGUGGGUGAAUACCCACU